CCUACGGGGGGCUGCAGUGGGGAAUAUUGGACAAUGGGCGAAAGCCUGAUCCAGCCAUGCCGCGUGUGUGAAGAAGGCCUUCGGGUUGUAAAGCACUUUCAGUGGGGAAGAAAGCCUUGGGGCUAAUACCCUCGAGGAAGGACAUCACCCACAGAAGAAGCACCGGCUAACUCCGUGCCAGCAGCCGCGGUAAUACGGAGGGUGCGAGCGUUAAUCGGAAUUACUGGGCGUAAAGCGCGCGUAGGCGGUCUGAUAAGCCGGUUGUGAAAGCCCCGGGCUCAACCUGGGAACGGCAUCCGGAACUGGCAGGCUAGAGUGCAGGAGAGGAAGGUAGAAUUCCCGGUGUAGCGGUGAAAUGCGUAGAGAUCGGGAGGAAUACCAGUGGCGAAGGCGGCCUUCUGGACUGACACUGACGCUGAGGUGCGAAAGCGUGGGUAGCAAACAGGAUUAGAUACCCGGGUAGUC
Molecule: ribosomal RNA, 465 nt
Filed under: Vreelandella stevensii
Lineage: Bacteria; Pseudomonadati; Pseudomonadota; Gammaproteobacteria; Oceanospirillales; Halomonadaceae
Description: partial 16S ribosomal RNA
Rfam family: Bacterial small subunit ribosomal RNA
Source: RNAcentral